UUUUGGAUGAUGAGAAG
This 17-nucleotide small RNA is filed under the name Arabidopsis thaliana (thale cress). RNAcentral describes it as "ATSL150470". The record is from RNAcentral. Lineage: Eukaryota; Viridiplantae; Streptophyta; Magnoliopsida; Brassicales; Brassicaceae.